UGAGCAGAUCAGGGACACAGAUCCAGGUGAGCAGAUCCCGCAGGCUGCAGGGUCCAGGUGAACACAAUGCAGUUUUGGGGCACAGUCCCAAGCAGGUGAGCAGAUCCCAGAAUCCAGGAGUGUCCAGGUGAGCCAAUCCCCAGGUCAGAGCCAGCAGAGCAGGCAGCCCCACCCCAAUCCCAAAUUCCCCUCUCCUGCCCCUCCCUGGGCUGAUCUCACUUGGCUGAAGGCAAAAAAGAGGGAAAAGCCCCAGAAAUGAGAGGUUUCACCCCAAGACAGAGCCCAGGAAGGUCUGGAGCACAGGUGGGUGUCCCGUGAAUCCCAGCCAAGGAAGGGCUGGAAGCACCAGGUGAGGCUGGGGAAUCCACACCUGGAGAACCUGAAUCCAUCCCAGUCUGACCAGUCUGAUGCCAGGGGAGAUGCCCGGAGCCAGAGGGAGCACAGGUGAGCCGGAGCAGCUGAGGAGGGAGCUGCAGGUGCUCUGGGAAUUCAGGAACAGCAGGAGCUGCACACCUGGGCACACCUGGGCACCCCUGCAGGAGAUGCACACCUGGGCACACCUGGGCACACCUGCAGGGCUCUGCAGGAGCACCUGGACACCCAGAGCCCACCUGCAGCAGGCCAGGACCACAGGUAGGGACAGGGACACUCCUGCACCCUCACAUCCCAAAUGUGGUCCCUGCAGGGGCAGCUCCAACCCCUCAGCAGCUGCUGGAGGCACCUCCCAGCACGGAAUGAACGUUCCAGAAGGUUCCCACAGGUACAGGCGAGCAGUUCCAGGUGAUGGAGGAGCCAACGAGGAGGUGAAGUUGGUUCAACCCCCAGAAUCUCCAGGUGAGGUCGGGGACUCCAGCCUUGAGUCUCUUGUGCCAGUUCCAGGUGUUUCCCAGCUGCAGGUGAGUGGGAGCAUCACCUGCACGAGGUGGCCCAGGUGAAACAUUCAUUAAACAAACAGCAAUUAGGGAAAAACUGAUUUUCCCUUAAAAACAAGGAAAGUGGAGGCAGCCAGGGGGCCAGAGCUGCUGUGGGAUCCAGGAGGCUCCAGCUCAGGUGAGUCCUGGCACAGGUGAGCUCUGCCAGGUGGGAUGGAGAGCAGGAGGGAUCCCAGAGGCUGCAGCUCAGGUGAGUCCUGGUGACCCCAACCAGGUGAGAGAAGGACUCUCACCUGGGCCAGGCGAAUCCUCUGUCCAGAGCAGCCCCCACCAAUUAAAUAAUCAAUCCAUGGAAUAAAUAACGGAGCCACAGGGCCUGAGGCCGCUCA
This 1261-nucleotide long non-coding RNA is filed under the name Zonotrichia albicollis (white-throated sparrow). Its description in RNAcentral is "lncRNA (ENSZALG00000005370.1)". The record is from RNAcentral. Lineage: Eukaryota; Metazoa; Chordata; Aves; Passeriformes; Passerellidae.